Molecule: ribosomal RNA, 477 nt
Filed under: uncultured bacterium
Lineage: Bacteria
Description: partial 16S ribosomal RNA
Rfam family: Bacterial small subunit ribosomal RNA
Source: RNAcentral
AUUGAAUGCUGGCGGCAUGCCUUACACAUGCAAGUCGAACGGUAACAGGUUAAGCUGACGAGUGGCGAACGGGUGAGUAAUACAUCGGAACGUGCCCAGUAGUGGGGGAUAGCCCGGCGAAAGCCGGAUUAAUACCGCAUACGACCUAAGGGUGAAAGGGGGGGAUCGCAAGACCUCUCGCUAUUGGAGCGGCCGAUGUCAGAUUAGCUAGUUGGUGGGGUAAAAGCUCACCAAGGCGACGAUCUGUAGCUGGUCUGAGAGGACGACCAGCCACACUGGGACUGAGACACGGCCCAGACUCCUACGGGAGGCAGCAGUGGGGAAUUUUGGACAAUGGGCGCAAGCCUGAUCCAGCCAUGCCGCGUGCGGGAAGAAGGCCUUCGGGUUGUAAACCGCUUUUGUCAGGGAAGAAAUCCUUUGGGUUAAUACCUCGGGGGGAUGACGGUACCUGAAGAAUAAGCACCGGCUAACUACGUG